This 1370-nucleotide ribosomal RNA is filed under the name Conus spurius. Its description in RNAcentral is "16S ribosomal RNA". The stretch from base 658 to 1370 matches the Rfam family "Archaeal large subunit ribosomal RNA", at positions 1423 to 2816 of the family's 2987-position model. The record is from RNAcentral. Lineage: Eukaryota; Metazoa; Mollusca; Gastropoda; Neogastropoda; Conidae.
AGUUUAUUGGCGGCAGUUAAAGGAUUCAAAUGACUCUUAGAAUAAUGAUAAAACAUUAUUAAAUUUAGUAAAGGGGAUUGAAAUCUAAUGUUUUUGCAUGAGUAAAGUACUGAGAAGGAAAUUUGAAAACUGAAUACUAGAAAUGUUUAAAGUUUGUACCUUUUGCAUCAUGGCUUAACUAGAUAACUACCUGGAUGGGAAGUCUCGAAACCCAGUGAGCUAUCCUUAGUCUGUUUUAUAGAUCUUGUUAAUGAGUUGGUUGUGGCAAAAACUUCUCUAGAACUAAGGAUAGAUAUGAAAUUUUAUUCGCACGGGGUGAUAGCUAGUUCUUUUUUACGGGCAUAUUAGUGCUUCUAGCCAUAGAUUUGAAUAGUACAAAUGAAAUUGUAAUUAUUUAUACUGGCUUAGUUAGACUUCUGAGGAUAAGCUCGGAGGUAUGUUUUGAAAUUGUAAUUAAUUUUUUUUUAGAUAUAAGCUUAGUAAUGGUUAUUGAUAUAGGACUUUGUUAUAAUUCAUUUUCUGAUUACCAAUAUAAUUUGUUUACUUAAUAGUAUAAGAAAGAAAUUUUAAUAACUAGAUGUAAAAUGAUUUUAUGUUAAGAUGAGUAUUAAACUAUUUGUUAGGAAACUAAUAAUAUUAAAACUUAGUGUUGUAUAUAAUUUUUAUAGAUGAAAUUGUAAAAAGGAACUCGGCAAACCCGUAUUCUGCCUGUUUAUCAAAAACAUGGCUUCAUGUUAGUGCUAAAAUAUGAAGUCGGACCUGCCCAGUGAGUUUUAAACGGCCGCGGUACUCUGACCGUGCAAAGGUAGCAUAAUCAUUUGCCUUAUAAUUGAAGGCUGGAAUGAAUGGUUUGACAAGAAUACACCUGUCUCUUUUAAAUUAUCUAGAAUUUUAUUUUUGGAUGAAAAAGUCCAGAUGAAAUUAAAAGACAAGAAGACCCUAUCGAGCUUAAAAAAAGUUAAUAGAUUCGGUGUGAAUCAAUAAUGAGUAAAAGAAGGACUAUUAAACAUUUUGGUUGGGGCAACCGAGGAGCAGAUGAAGCCUCCUUUAAGGCCAAAAAUCUUACUUGCAUUGAUCCAAGCAUUAUUGAUCAGAGGAAUUAGUUACCGUAGGGAUAACAGCAUUAUCUUUUUCAAGAGCCCAUAUCGAAAAAAAGGUUUGUGACCUCGAUGUUGGACCAGAAUGUCCUAAAGAUGCAGAAGUCUUUGAGGGUUGGUCUGUUCGACCAUUAAAAUUCUACGUGAUCUGAGUUCAGACCGGCGUGAGCCAGGUCAGUUUCUAUCUUUAUAUUUUUUGGCUAUAUUCAGUACGAAAGGACCGAUGUAGCGUAUAAGAUGCUUUAGUUAGAUUAAAUAUAAUUCGACUUUAAG